UAACGCUUGGACACUCAGCCAUCUUACCC
RNAcentral lists this transfer RNA (29 nucleotides) under Dendrocygna arborea (black-billed whistling-duck). RNAcentral's name for it is "partial tRNA-Tyr". RNAcentral also lists the same sequence under 1 other name. The record is from RNAcentral. Lineage: Eukaryota; Metazoa; Chordata; Aves; Anseriformes; Anatidae.